Molecule: ribosomal RNA, 642 nt
Filed under: uncultured marine eukaryote
Lineage: Eukaryota
Description: SSU rRNA
Rfam family: Eukaryotic small subunit ribosomal RNA
Source: RNAcentral
UGGUUAAAAAGCUCGUAGUUGGAUCUCGGCGGACUGAGGGCGGUUUGCUUGCUAGUAUUACUGCCCUAUAGUCCGUAGUUUUGCCAGAGGUUUCGGGGUGCUCUUAAUCGAGUGUCCCGGGAUGCUGGCAGGUUUACUUUGAAAAAAUUAGAGUGCUCAAAGCAGGCUAUUACGCCUGAAUAUUCGUGCAUGGAAUAAUAGAAUAGGAAGUCGUUUCUAUUUUGUUGGUUUUCGGAAAUCGACUUAAUGAUUAAUAGGGACAGUCGGGGGCAUUUGUAUUCAAACGACAGAGGUGAAAUUCUUGGACCGUUUGAAGACAAACUACUGCGAAAGCAUUUGCCAAGAAUGUUUUCAUUAAUCAAGAACGAAAGUUAAAGGUUCGAAGGCGUUUAGAUACCGCCCUAGUUUUAACCAUAAACGAUGCCAGCUAGCGAUCUGCGGACGUUUUUUUUGUAGACUCCGCAGGAAGCUUCCGGGAAACCAAAGCAUUUGGGUUCCAGGGGAAGUAUGGUUGCAAAGCUGAAACUUAAAGGAAUUGACGGAAGGGCACCACCAGGAGUGGAGCCUGUGGCUUAAUUUGACUCAACACGGGAAAUCUCACCAGGCCCGGACACUGGAAGGAUUGACAGAUUGAUAGCUCUU